RNAcentral lists this transfer RNA (56 nucleotides) under Varanus varius (lace monitor). RNAcentral describes it as "tRNA-Cys". The record is from RNAcentral. Lineage: Eukaryota; Metazoa; Chordata; Lepidosauria; Squamata; Varanidae.
AGCCCAGAAAUUAUCGGACUGCAAACUCGAUUUUGGGUAUGUUUACCCCUGGGCUU